RNAcentral lists this ribosomal RNA (257 nucleotides) under uncultured bacterium. RNAcentral describes it as "partial 16S ribosomal RNA". It matches the Rfam family "Bacterial small subunit ribosomal RNA", at positions 524 to 777 of the family's 1533-position model. The record is from RNAcentral.
UACAGAGGGGGCAAGCGUUAUUCGGAAUUAUUGGGCGUAAAGGGCGCGUAGGCGGCUUGGCAAGUGGAUGGUGAAAUCCCUCGGCUUAACCGAGGAACUGCCGUCCAAACUGCUUCGCUUGAGACCGGGAGAGGUGAGUGGAAUUCCCAGAUGUAGCGGUGGAAAAUGCGUAGAUAUUGGGAGGAACACCAGUGGCGAAGGCGGCUCACUGGACCGGUACUGACGCUGAUGCGCGAAAGCGUGGGGAGCAAACGGGG